This 72-nucleotide transfer RNA is filed under the name Cordylochernes scorpioides. RNAcentral's name for it is "tRNA-Gly". The record is from RNAcentral. Lineage: Eukaryota; Metazoa; Arthropoda; Arachnida; Pseudoscorpiones; Chernetidae.
UACUGCGAAUCGGGAAUCGAACCCUGGCCGCCCGCGUGGCAGGCGAGCAUUCUACCACUGAACCACCGAUGC